RNAcentral lists this ribosomal RNA (347 nucleotides) under uncultured Enterobacteriaceae bacterium. RNAcentral describes it as "bacterial SSU rRNA". It matches the Rfam family "Bacterial small subunit ribosomal RNA", at positions 1034 to 1382 of the family's 1533-position model. Lineage: Bacteria; Pseudomonadati; Pseudomonadota; Gammaproteobacteria; Enterobacterales; Enterobacteriaceae. The record is from RNAcentral.
GACAGUGCUGCAUGGCUGUCGUCAGCUCGUGUUGUGAAAUGUUGGUUAAGUCCCGCAACGAGCGCAACCCUUAUCCUUUGUUGCCAGCGGUCCGGCCGGGAACUCAAAGGAGACUGCCAGUGAUAAACUGGAGGAAGGUGGGGAUGACGUCAAGUCAUCAUGGCCCUUACGAGUAGGGCUACACACGUGCUACAAUGGCGCAUACAAAGAGAAGCGAACUCGCGAGAGCAAGCGGACCUCAUAAAGUGCGUCGUAGUCCGGAUUGGAGUCUGCAACUCGACUCCAUGAAGUCGGAAUCGCUAGUAAUCGUAGAUCAGAAUGCUACGGUGAAUACGUUCCCGGGCCUU